RNAcentral lists this ribosomal RNA (116 nucleotides) under Diaphorina citri (Asian citrus psyllid). The record is from RNAcentral. Lineage: Eukaryota; Metazoa; Arthropoda; Insecta; Hemiptera; Psyllidae.
CCCAGUGGCAAUAGCAUGUUGAAUACAAGUUUCCAUAGAUCACUUAGGAUAAGCAAUAUUGUGUGAGGUUGGUAACUGGAUAGGUGACCAAACUAAGAUACCACAUGCUCUUGGUU